RNAcentral lists this ribosomal RNA (509 nucleotides) under Metschnikowia baotianmanensis. RNAcentral's name for it is "partial 26S ribosomal RNA". It matches the Rfam family "Eukaryotic large subunit ribosomal RNA", at positions 62 to 648 of the family's 3401-position model. The record is from RNAcentral. Lineage: Eukaryota; Fungi; Ascomycota; Pichiomycetes; Serinales; Metschnikowiaceae.
AAACCAACAGGGAUUGCCUCAGUAACGGCGAGUGAAGCGGCAAAAGCUCAAAUUUGAAAUCCUUCGGGAAUUGUAAUUUGAAGGUGGUGUUAGUGAGAAAAAGCAUUCUUAAGUCCAUUGGAAAAUGGCGCCAUGGAGGGUGAUAGCCCCGUAAAGAAGCCGCUUUCUCUCUUUUCUUUCACCGCCAAAGAGUCGAGUUGUUUGGGAAUGCAGCUCUAAGUGGGUGGUAAAUUCCAUCUAAAGCUAAAUAUUGGCGAGAGACCGAUAGCGAACAAGUACAGUGAUGGAAAGAUGAAAAGCACUUUGAAAAGAGAGUGAAAAAGUACGUGAAAUUGUUGAAAGGGAAGGGCUUGCAAGCAGACACAACCUCGGUUGGGCCAGCAUCGGGGCGAGGGGAGACAAAAAAGGGCAGGAAUGUAACUCAUUGAGCAUUAUAGCCUGCCCCUCCAUCUCCAUCUCAUCCCGAGGCCUGCGGUAUCUAGGAUGCUGGCGUAAUGGUUGCAAGUCGC